GGAUGAUGGCAUGAUGCUGUCAGGGACUCUGGGCAGGCAGGCCAGCCUAAGCCAAGUACUGCAGCAGCCACACCUGCAGCAAACCUCAGCUAAUUAACUCAACCCAGGUUUAGGAUCAGCAAG
Molecule: long non-coding RNA, 123 nt
Organism: Gavialis gangeticus (Gharial)
Lineage: Eukaryota; Metazoa; Chordata; Crocodylia; Gavialidae
Exons: 3
Source: RefSeq, a predicted model, not a curated record